This 484-nucleotide ribosomal RNA is filed under the name uncultured bacterium. RNAcentral describes it as "partial 16S ribosomal RNA". It matches the Rfam family "Bacterial small subunit ribosomal RNA", at positions 30 to 507 of the family's 1533-position model. The record is from RNAcentral.
AUUGAACGCUGGCGGCAGGCCUAACACAUGCAAGUCGAGCGGAUGAAGGGAGCUUGCUCCUGGAUUCAGCGGCGGACGGGUGAGUAAUGCCUAGGAAUCUGCCUGGUCGUGGGGGAUAACGUCCGGAAACGGGCGCUAAUACCGCAUACGUCCUGAGGGUGAACGUGGGGGAUCUUCGGACCUCCCGCUAUUAGAUGAGCCUAGGUCGGAUUAGCUAGUUGGUGGGGUAAAGGCCUACCAAGGCGACGAUCCGUAACUGGUCUGAGAGGAUGAUCAGUCACACUGGAACUGAGACACGGUCCAGACUCCUACGGGAGGCAGCAGUAGGGAAUAUUGGACAAUGGGCGAAAGCCUGAUCCAGCCAUGCCGCGUGUGUGAAGAAGGUCUUCGGAUUGUAAAGCACUUUAAGUUGGGAGGAAGGGCAGUAAGUUAAUACCUUGCUGUUUUGACGUUACCAACAGAAUAAGCACCGGCUAACUUCGUG